GACGAACGCUGGCGGCGUGCUUAACACAUGCAAGUCGAACGGUGAACCUGCUUCGGUGGGGGAUCAGUGGCGAACGGGUGAGUAACACGUGGGCAACCUGCCCCUGGCUCUGGGAUAACUCCAAGAAAUUGGGGCUAAUACCGGAUAUGACCGCUGACCGCAUGGUCUGGUGGUGGAAAGAUUUUAUCGGCUGGGGAUGGGCCCGCGGCCUAUCAGCUUGUUGGUGGGGUAGUGGCCACCAAGGCGACGACGGGUAGCCGGCCUGAGAGGGUGACCGGCCACACUGGGACUGAGACACGGCCCAGACUCCUACGGGAGGCAGCAGUGGGGAAUAUUGCGCAAUGGGCGGAAGCCUGACGCAGCGACGCCGCGUGGGGA
RNAcentral lists this ribosomal RNA (378 nucleotides) under uncultured bacterium. RNAcentral describes it as "bacterial SSU rRNA". It matches the Rfam family "Bacterial small subunit ribosomal RNA", at positions 28 to 407 of the family's 1533-position model. The record is from RNAcentral.